This 496-nucleotide ribosomal RNA is filed under the name uncultured bacterium. Its description in RNAcentral is "partial 16S ribosomal RNA". It matches the Rfam family "Bacterial small subunit ribosomal RNA", at positions 29 to 507 of the family's 1533-position model. The record is from RNAcentral.
ACGCACGCUGGCGGCGUGCCUAAUACAUGCAAGUUGAGCGAUGAAGAUUGGUGCUUGCACCAAUUUGAAGAGCAGCGAACGGGUGAGUAACGCGUGGGGAAUCUGCCUUUGAGCGGGGGACAACAUUUGGAAACGAAUGCUAAUACCGCAUAACAACUUUAAACAUAAGUUUUAAGUUUGAAAGAUGCAAUUGCAUCACUCAAAGAUGAUCCCGCGUUGUAUUAGCUAGUUGGUGAGGUAAAGGCUCACCAAGGCGAUGAUACAUAGCCGACCUGAGAGGGUGAUCGGCCACAUUGGGACUGAGACACGGCCCAAACUCCUACGGGAGGCAGCAGUAGGGAAUCUUCGGCAAUGGGCGAAAGUCUGACCGAGCAACGCCGCGUGAGUGAAGAAGGUUUUCGGAUCGUAAAACUCUGUUGGUAGAGAAGAACGUUGGUGAGAGUGGAAAGCUCAUCAAGUGACGGUAACUACCCAGAAAGGGACGGCUAACUACGUG